This 714-nucleotide long non-coding RNA is filed under the name Dasypus novemcinctus (nine-banded armadillo). RNAcentral's name for it is "lncRNA (ENSDNOG00000051503.1)". Lineage: Eukaryota; Metazoa; Chordata; Mammalia; Cingulata; Dasypodidae. The record is from RNAcentral.
CGUACACGCCUCCGCCCCCUUCCUUCCGGCCUGCGCGCUGCGCGGGAAUCAGGGGGCGUGGAAGGCUGCGGGCGCCCGAGCACCGUGACUCGAGUCCUGUUCUCAGCGACCCUGGUGGCCGGCGGGACUAUCGGAGCCCCCCUUCAUACUCGGAGCUCCUUCCCACACCCUUUCUGUUUCCGGUCCACCGUUUUCCUCCAACCAGUGUGGCUGAGGCUCAGCCGGCAGCUGCUUCCUCCCCAGCUCUGCCUUGGAACAAAGAAGAUUAACCCCUGCUCCGGAUGAAAUCACAGCAUCCCCAGUUGCUAACUGCAAGGAGACAGGCUGCAACUGCAGGGAAUUCUCACUCAUAAAGACUAUGUUCUGGCAAUUGCCCAGCAUCACGCCCCUGUGGACGGCCUGCUGAUGAAGCUCCAGGUACCUCCACUCCAGCCUUGUAAAAUACAAGCUUAUUAUUAUGGAAAUAGUGAAAAUACUUUUGUACUGACUGAAGUGAUGAAUGCAUAACUAUGUGAUUAUACCACAUACGGUUGAUUGUACACUUUGGAUGAAUUGUACGCUUUAAUGAUAUGUACCAAUAAAUUGAUCUAUUAAAAAAAAAAAAAAAGCAAGGUCACAUCCUCAAAUGUCACAGGCUCCUGAAACAGCACAGCCAGGCUAACCUGACGUGGGCCCCAAUGGGUUCAACCACAGCACAGGGAUGCACUACCCCAU